Molecule: long non-coding RNA, 598 nt
Organism: Sitophilus oryzae (rice weevil)
Lineage: Eukaryota; Metazoa; Arthropoda; Insecta; Coleoptera; Curculionidae
Exons: 3
Source: RefSeq, a predicted model, not a curated record
UCCCGUGCGAAGUCGGAAACGCGCGCGAAAAUCUCGAAUUUAAAACGAAAAUUCAAAGGGUUAGCGCUUUGACCGACUGUUGAUGUCUCCGGAGGUUUGUGGCUUGAUCGACUGUUAAAUGUGCGCGUGAACUAUGAGACUGAUUAACUUAAUUGUUAAAUUAAUUUGAGAACGAACUCAAAUAUAGUUUUGUGUGCAGAGAUAAUGAUAGUUAAAUAAAUAAAAAGCUACAGACAAUAAUAUAUUAUUUGAACGAUAUAUGUAUAUUUUGUGAGUCAGUAACAGUUUAGUGUUAUAAGUUGAUAUUUUUAUUUGGACUUGUUUUGUGAAUUGGGUGUCGGUAAACAUUGUGAUUUUUACUGGAUAUAGUGAUUUCUGAGAUCUGCGUGAUAAAGUUUUUGUGUUUUUUCAUCGGUGUAUUUUAAAGUUUAAUCAUUGAUAAUAGCAUGAUUACGAUGGAGUGCCAGCCAGGGGGUCACGGCGGACACCUGGGGCACUCCAUGAUGCUGGAUCACACUGGCGCCAUGCAUCAGCAAGACCAGGACCAUAAAAAGAAGCGAGACAGUGGAUCACAUGUUGGCUCUUCUUCAAGUGACGG